GGCUAAUCCGAGUGCAGUGGUGUUUACAACUAAUUGAUCACAACCAGUUACAGAUUUCUUUGUUUCUUCUCCACUCCCACUGUUUCACUUGACUAGCCUUAA
Molecule: unclassified non-coding RNA, 102 nt
Organism: Cavia porcellus (domestic guinea pig)
Lineage: Eukaryota; Metazoa; Chordata; Mammalia; Rodentia; Caviidae
Rfam family: Y RNA
About the family: Y RNAs are components of the Ro ribonucleoprotein particle (Ro RNP), in association with Ro60 and La proteins. The Y RNAs and Ro60 and La proteins are well conserved, but the function of the Ro RNP is not known. In humans the RNA component can be one of four small RNAs -- hY1, hY3, hY4 and hY5.
Source: Ensembl